RNAcentral lists this transfer RNA (77 nucleotides) under Parcubacteria group bacterium. RNAcentral's name for it is "tRNA-Val". It matches the Rfam family "tRNA". From Rfam's summary of the family: Transfer RNA (tRNA) molecules are approximately 80 nucleotides in length. Their secondary structure includes four short double-helical elements and three loops (D, anti-codon, and T loops). Further hydrogen bonds mediate the characteristic L-shaped molecular structure. tRNAs have two regions of fundamental functional importance: the anti-codon, which is responsible for specific mRNA codon recognition, and the 3' end, to which the tRNAs corresponding amino acid is attached (by aminoacyl-tRNA synthetases). tRNAs cope with the degeneracy of the genetic code in two manners: having more than one tRNA (with a specific anti-codon) for a particular amino acid; and 'wobble' base-pairing, i.e. permitting non-standard base-pairing at the 3rd anti-codon position. RNAcentral also lists the same sequence under 1 other name. The record is from RNAcentral.
GGGCGAUUAGCUCAGUUGGCUAGAGCAACCCGUUUACACCGGGUAGGUCGCAGGUUCGAGUCCUGCAUCGCCCACCA